RNAcentral lists this transfer RNA (70 nucleotides) under Salmo salar (Atlantic salmon). It matches the Rfam family "tRNA". From Rfam's summary of the family: Transfer RNA (tRNA) molecules are approximately 80 nucleotides in length. The record is from Rfam by way of RNAcentral. Lineage: Eukaryota; Metazoa; Chordata; Actinopteri; Salmoniformes; Salmonidae.
UCCCGUGUGGCUCAGUUGGUAGAGCAUGGUGUUUGCAACGCCAGGGUUGUGGUUUCGGUUUCCACGGGGG